This 253-nucleotide ribosomal RNA is filed under the name uncultured bacterium. RNAcentral's name for it is "partial 16S ribosomal RNA". It matches the Rfam family "Bacterial small subunit ribosomal RNA", at positions 524 to 776 of the family's 1533-position model. The record is from RNAcentral.
UACAGAGGUCCAAAGCGUUGUUCGGAUUCACUGGGCGUAAAGGGUGCGCAGGUGGUCGGGUAAGUCUGACGUGAAAUCCCGCAGCUUAACUGCGGAAUGGCAUUGGAUACUAUUCGGCUAGAGGGUUGGAGGGGGGACUGGAAUUCUCGGUGUAGCAGUGAAAUGCGUAGAUAUCGAGAGGAACACCAGUGGCGAAGGCGAGUCCCUGGACAACUCCUGACGCUGAGGCACGAAAGCUAGGGGAGCAAACAGG